RNAcentral lists this ribosomal RNA (566 nucleotides) under uncultured bacterium. RNAcentral describes it as "bacterial SSU rRNA". It matches the Rfam family "Bacterial small subunit ribosomal RNA", at positions 1 to 561 of the family's 1533-position model. The record is from RNAcentral.
UGGGCCCGACGGUUUGAUCAUGGCUCAGAUUGAACGCUGGCGGCAUGCCUUACACAUGCAAGUCGAACGGCAGCACGGGAGCAAUCCUGGUGGCGAGUGGCGAACGGGUGAGUAAUACAUCGGAACGUGCCCUGUCAUGGGGGAUAACUAGUCGAAAGAUUACCUAAUACCGCAUACGACCUGAGGGUGAAAGCGGGGGACCGUAAGGCCUCGCGCGAUAGGAACGGCCGAUGUCUGAUUAGCUAGUUGGUGGGGUAAAGGCCCACCAAGGCGACGAUCAGUAGCUGGUCUGAAAGGACGAUCAGCCACACUGGGACUGAGACACGGCCCAAACUCCUACGGGAGGCAGCAGUGGGGAAUUUUGGACAAUGGGGGCAACCCUGAUCCAGCAAUGCCGCGUGUGUGAAGAAGGCCUUCGGGUUGUAAAGCACUUUUGUCCGGAAAGAAAUCCCUUGCCCUAAUACGGCGGGGGGAUGACGGUACCGGAAGAAUAAGCACCGGCUAACUACGUGCCACCAGCCGCGGUAAUACGUAGGGUGCGAGCGUUAAUCGGAAUUACUGGGCGU